GACGAACGCUGGCGGCGUGCUUAACACAUGCAAGUCGAACGAUGAACCCGGAGCUUGCUCUGGGGGAUUAGUGGCGAACGGGUGAGUAACACGUGAGUAACCUGCCCUGGACUCUGGGAUAAGCGUUGGAAACGACGUCUAAUACCGGAUAGGACCUUGGAUCGCAUGAUCUGGGGUGGAAAGUUUUUUCGGUCUGGGAUGGACUCGCGGCCUACCAGCUUGUUUGUGAGGUAAUGGCUCACCAAGGCGUCGACGGGUAGCCGGCCUGUGAGGGUGACCGGCCACACUGGGACUGAGACACGGCCCAGACUCCUACGGGAGGCAGCAGUGGGGAAUAUUGCACAAUGGGCGAAAGCCUGAUGCAGCAACGCAGCGUGCGGGAUGACGGCCUUCGGGUUGUAAACCGCUUUUAGUAGGGAAGAAGGGCUUCGGCUUGACGGUACCUGCAGAAAAAGGACCGGCUAACUACGUG
This 472-nucleotide ribosomal RNA is filed under the name uncultured bacterium. RNAcentral describes it as "partial 16S ribosomal RNA". It matches the Rfam family "Bacterial small subunit ribosomal RNA", at positions 28 to 507 of the family's 1533-position model. The record is from RNAcentral.